UACGAAGGGGGCUAGCGUUGCUCGGAAUCACUGGGCGUAAAGGGCGCGUAGGCGGUCUUUUAAGUCGGGGGUGAAAGCCUGUGACUCAACCACAGAAUUGCCUUCGAUACUGGGAGACUUGAGUUCGGAAGAGGUUGGUGGAACUGCGAGUGUAGAGGUGAAAUUCGUAGAUAUUCGCAAGAACACCGGUGGCGAAGGCGGCCAACUGGUCCGACACUGACGCUGAGGCGCGAAAGCGUGGGGAGCAAACAGG
RNAcentral lists this ribosomal RNA (253 nucleotides) under uncultured bacterium. Its description in RNAcentral is "partial 16S ribosomal RNA". It matches the Rfam family "Bacterial small subunit ribosomal RNA", at positions 524 to 776 of the family's 1533-position model. The record is from RNAcentral.